RNAcentral lists this long non-coding RNA (758 nucleotides) under Phasianus colchicus (ring-necked pheasant). Its description in RNAcentral is "lncRNA (ENSPCLG00000003037.1)". Lineage: Eukaryota; Metazoa; Chordata; Aves; Galliformes; Phasianidae. The record is from RNAcentral.
CAAAGGACCUAAUAGUUCUAAUAAGGAAUGUGAUUUGAUUUUUUCAGGAAAGAUGUGAGGAACCUAAGGAAUCUACAUAAGAGGAUGCCUCCUCAUUCUGGAAACCUGUCAAAAAAUAAUAAGACAAAGGCUGUUCUUACUGGCUCAACAUGGUCCAGGGAGUCUGCCUGUGGUUAUUGUACCAUCCUGGCUUGUUGACUGGACCUGCAUGCUGCUGUGAGGAUGAGAUGGUUGCCUAGUCUAUUCUACUGUUGCUAUUGCUCCUGCUUUGCCACCCUGGGACUUGUGGUCCCUGUCAGACUGCAAUACUUGUCACGCUCGAGUAUAUGGAAAAGAAGUUUUGCAUGUCCUGAGACUUCAGCAUGAACCCAGUAACCUGAAACUCUCUGUGACCAAUGGAGAAAAAAUUAGUUCUAUAAGCAUGAGCCAUGAUGAUGACUUUUUUUCUUUUACUGUAGAGAGAACAUAAUGCAAACAUGCACAUUAUUGUCACUUUUUAGAGUUAGAUAUAGAUCUCACCUUAAAUACUAUCCAAACUCCUGUCAGUUUGGUGUAAGGCUUGCCCUUAACUUUCAGAAUCUGUGAAUUAUGUUCCUAAUAAGUCAUCUUAGGUAAGACUAUUGAGUAAAAUACUUCUCCCUGUGCUAGAAAGUGUUUUAAUUGUAUGAGGGAUGAAAUAGUUAGGAAAUACUACUUUUCAAAGCAGAAUGUUAAUGUAGCUUAGGAUAACUGUAAAUAAAAACAUGUAACAACGAACA